Molecule: long non-coding RNA, 521 nt
Organism: Triticum aestivum (bread wheat)
Lineage: Eukaryota; Viridiplantae; Streptophyta; Magnoliopsida; Poales; Poaceae
Exons: 3
Source: RefSeq, a predicted model, not a curated record
ACCGCACCGCACGCAGCUGAAGCCGAGCCCGGAUCGCUCUUGUGCCCUGGUUGAUUCCGUGUGCUCCAGGGACUCCGUACGCGAGCAAAGGACCCCAGGGAAACCCCGCACCCCCUGUCCCGAUCUUCCCCGUUGUCGCACGCCUCUUUCUCUCUUUCCCCACCGCUAGAGCACUGCCUCUCUGGUAUUGGAUCUCGCCGGAGGAGCUCGAGGUCGCCGUCGUUCACCGCCUGUUUCUGAUGCCACCACCAGAACGACGCCGCCGCCAAUGCUCGAUUUCACCGGAGCACCGAGGUUCACCUCGCCACCGUCGCCUACAGAGGGCGUAUCGCCACCGUCCGACACCACCACCACCUCCGCCACUUGUCGUUGAACCCAUCCGCCACUUCACCCUCGCCGGAGACCCACCAGAGAGCCGCCGCCGACGACGACCGACCGCCGCCACCGUUUUUCCGUUUCUGAUUGUCCGGAGUGCGACGCGAGCUAUUGUCAGGAGUGUGACUUUCUGAACCAGAACCAAG